Molecule: long non-coding RNA, 1500 nt
Organism: Bos taurus (domestic cattle)
Lineage: Eukaryota; Metazoa; Chordata; Mammalia; Artiodactyla; Bovidae
Source: Ensembl
CUAAACAAGCUUAUGUUUUCUACCUCUGCCUAAGAGAGCAAAAAGAAAACCUACAGGGUAUGAAGAAUUUAAAUUUAUUGUAGGGGAACAUUUCUGAUAAUUAAGGUUUCUCAGCUUUACAUGGGGUGCCAGCUAUAAGAGUGGUUCUGGAAUCUUCUUUAAAGGUGUUUAAGAAUUACCUGAACUUGAUUCUGUCUGGUUGGCUCAGGUAGGGUGUGGCCCUGCAAGGGAAGGAAUGGCCUGUUCUGUCUCAUUGCUCCAGGAUUUGAAUGGCGGUGAGAUGACAAUCUGUCACCUAGACAGAGCCUUAACUGCAUCUCCAAAUCCAUAUGCUUUCACAGGUGGGAGUUACUUGACCAACUUCACAGAGUUUUAUCUCUGCCUUCAGUGGCACCCUGUGUGUUUUACUUAGAUAUGCAGUGUUGCCAUUUGGGUUCCCUCAGGCUAAUUCUGGGGGCUUCUCUAGUGCCUCAGAUGGUAAAGAGUCUGCCUGCAAUGUAGGAGCUGCAGGAGGCGCGGGUUUGAUCCCUGGGUCGGGAAGAUCCCCUGGAGAAGGAAAUGGCAACCCACUCCAGUAUUCUUGCCUGGAGAAUCCCAUGGACACAGGAGCCUGGCAGGCUGCAGUCCAUGGGGUUGCAAAGAGUGGGAUACAACUCAGCUACUUAGCACACAAGCUGAGUCUGAGAUGAAGAUUUGUGUGCAGGCUGUUUUCUAGAGGGCGCUCUUGGUAUCAAUGCUGUGGAAGGGAAGGGGAGGAAGUAGGAUCAGGCUGAGGGAGAAGGCAGCCCUUUCGGGGAGAGGAUCUUGUGGGUUGCUGCAGGCAGUGACAGUGAUUUGCAGAAAGGUCAAUUAUUUGGAAGAGUUUAAAAAGGAUUGGAAUUCACCAGUGGAGCUAUCUAGUCCUGAACUUUUCUUUGUUGGUUGUCCAAUUUGCUGGGCUAUAACGUGGCACUGUGAUAAAGAGACUGCCUGCCAAAGCAAGAGAUGUGGUCUCGAUCUCUGGGUUGUGAAGAUCCCCUGGAGUAGGAAAUGGCAAUCCAUUCCAGUAUUCUUGCCUGGGAAAUUCCAUGGACAGAGAAGCCUGGUAGGCUGCAGUCCAUGGGGCCACAAAGAGUCAGACAUGACUGAGCGACUGAAUACAGCACAGUUGUUCAUAGUAGUCUCUUAGGAUCCUUUGUAUUUCUGUGGUAUCACUUGUAAUGUCUCCUCUUUCCUUUAUAAUUUUAUUUAUUUGAAUUCUUUGUCUUCUUUUUUUCUUGGUAGGUCAAACUGAAAUUCCAACACUGGAUAUUACCUGUUUUUUUUAAUGUUUGCUAGUUUGAUGAACUAUAACAUUUUAGUGUUUUAAUUGUAUUUUUGUUUACCGUGAGAAAUGGAAUAUUUUCCUUUGCCGUUUUCCAUUUCUAUUUCUUUUACUAUGAAGUACCUCUUUAUAUUCUUUCCCCCUUUUUAUUAAAUGGUUCACCUUAUUAAUGAAUUGUAAGAAUUAUUGACAUACUG